CGUAGGGUGCGAGCGUUAAUCGGAAUUACUGGGCGUAAAGCGUGCGCAGGCGGUUUUGUAGGACAGAUGUGAAAUCCCCGGGCUCAACCUGGGACCUGCAUUUGUGACUGCAAGGCUAGAGUACGGUAGAGGGGGAUGGAAUUCCGCGUGUAGCAGUGAAAUGCGUAGAUAUGCGGAGGAACACCGAUGGCGAAGGCAAUCCCCUGGACCUGUACUGACGCUCAUGCACGAAAGCGUGGGGAGCAAACAGGAUUAGAUACCCUGGUAGUCCACGCCCUAAACGAUGUCAACUGGUUGUUGGGUCUUUACUGACUCAGUAACGAAGCUAACGCGUGAAGUUGACCGCCUGGGGAGUACGGCCGCAAGGUUG
RNAcentral lists this ribosomal RNA (370 nucleotides) under uncultured organism. RNAcentral describes it as "bacterial SSU rRNA". It matches the Rfam family "Bacterial small subunit ribosomal RNA", at positions 526 to 896 of the family's 1533-position model. The record is from RNAcentral.